This 404-nucleotide ribosomal RNA is filed under the name uncultured beta proteobacterium. RNAcentral's name for it is "bacterial SSU rRNA". It matches the Rfam family "Bacterial small subunit ribosomal RNA", at positions 9 to 416 of the family's 1533-position model. Lineage: Bacteria; Pseudomonadati; Pseudomonadota; Betaproteobacteria. The record is from RNAcentral.
GAGUUUGAUCGUGGCUCAGAUUGAACGCUGGCGGAAUGCUUUACACAUGCAAGUCGAGCGGCAGCGCGGGGCAGCCUGGCGGCGAGCGGCGAACGGGUGAGUAAUGCAUCGGAACAUGUCCAUGUCGUGGGGGAUAGCCCGGCGAAAGCCGGAUUAAUACCGCAUACGCCCGAGAGGGGAAAGUGGGGGACCGCAAGGCCUCACGCGAUUGGGUUGGCCGAUGUCCGAUUAGCUAGUUGGCGGGGUAAGAGCCCACCAAGGCGAUGAUCGGUAGCUGGUCUGAGAGGAUGAUCAGCCACACUGGGACUGAGACACGGCCCAGACUCCUACGGGAGGCAGCAGUGGGGAAUUUUGGACAAUGGGGGAAACCCUGAUCCAGCCAUUCCGCGUGAGUGAAGAAGGCC